AAAUUGGCAGAGCUUCCUCUU
RNAcentral lists this microRNA (21 nucleotides) under Bos taurus (domestic cattle). RNAcentral's name for it is "bta-miR-2473". The record is from miRBase by way of RNAcentral. Lineage: Eukaryota; Metazoa; Chordata; Mammalia; Artiodactyla; Bovidae.